CCGAGUUUACAACUCCCAAACCCCUGUGAACAUACCUUAUGUUGCCUCGGCGGAUCAGCCCGCGCCCGUAAAACGGGACGGCCCGCCAGAGGAACCCCUAAACUCUGUUUCUUAGUGGAACCUCUGAGUAUAAAACCAUAAUAAAUCA
RNAcentral lists this unclassified non-coding RNA (148 nucleotides) under soil metagenome. RNAcentral describes it as "partial internal transcribed spacer 1". The record is from RNAcentral.